AGAGGCGAUGAAGGACGUGCUAAUCUGCGAUAAGCGUCGGUAAGGUGAUAUGAACCGUUAUAACCGGCGAUUUCCGAAUGGGGAAACCCAGUGUGUUUCGACACACUAUCAUUAACUGAAUCCAUAGGUUAAUGAGGCGAACCGGGGGAACUGAAACAUCUAAGUACCCCGAGGAAAAGAAAUCAACCGAGAUUCCCCCAGUAGCGGCGAGCGAACGGGGAGCAGCCCAGAGCCUGAAUCAGUGUGUGUGUUAGUGGAAGCGUCUGGAAAGGCGCGCGAUACAGGGUGACAGCCCCGUACACAAAAAUGCACAUGCUGUGAGCUCGAUGAGUAGGGCGGGACACGUGGUAUCCUGUCUGAAUAUGGGGGGACCAUCCUCCAAGGCUAAAUACUCCUGACUGACCGAUAGUGAACCAGUACCGUGAGGGAAAGGCGAAAAGAACCCCGGCGAGGGGAGUGAAAAAGAACCUGAAACCGUGUACGUACAAGCAGUGGGAGCACGCUUAGGCGUGUGACUGCGUACCUUUUGUAUAAUGGGUCAGCGACUUAUAUUCUGUAGCAAGGUUAACCGAAUAGGGGAGCCGAAGGGAAACCGAGUCUUAACUGGGCGUUAAGUUGCAGGGUAUAGACCCGAAACCCGGUGAUCUAGCCAUGGGCAGGUUGAAGGUUGGGUAACACUAACUGGAGGACCGAACCGACUAAUGUUGAAAAAUUAGCGGAUGACUUGUGGCUGGGGGUGAAAGGCCAAUCAAACCGGGAGAUAGCUGGUUCUCCCCGAAAGCUAUUUAGGUAGCGCCUCGUGAAUUCAUCUCCGGGGGUAGAGCACUGUUUCGGCAAGGGGGUCAUCCCGACUUACCAACCCGAUGCAAACUGCGAAUACCGGAGAAUGUUAUCACGGGAGACACACGGCGGGUGCUAACGUCCGUCGUGAAGAGGGAAACAACCCAGACCGCCAGCUAAGGUCCCAAAGUCAUGGUUAAGUGGGAAACGAUGUGGGAAGGCCCAGACAGCCAGGAUGUUGGCUUAGAAGCAGCCAUCAUUUAAAGAAAGCGUAAUAGCUCACUGGUCGAGUCGGCCUGCGCGGAAGAUGUAACGGGGCUAAACCAUGCACCGAAGCUGCGGCAGCGACGCUUAUGCGUUGUUGGGUAGGGGAGCGUUCUGUAAGCCUGCGAAGGUGUGCUGUGAGGCAUGCUGGAGGUAUCAGAAGUGCGAAUGCUGACAUAAGUAACGAUAAAGCGGGUGAAAAGCCCGCUCGCCGGAAGACCAAGGGUUCCUGUCCAACGUUAAUCGGGGCAGGGUGAGUCGACCCCUAAGGCGAGGCCGAAAGGCGUAGUCGAUGGGAAACAGGUUAAUAUUCCUGUACUUGGUGUUACUGCGAAGGGGGGACGGAGAAGGCUAUGUUGGCCGGGCGACGGUUGUCCCGGUUUAAGCGUGUAGGCUGGUUUUCCAGGCAAAUCCGGAAAAUCAAGGCUGAGGCGUGAUGACGAGGCACUACGGUGCUGAAGCAACAAAUGCCCUGCUUCCAGGAAAAGCCUCUAAGCAUCAGGUAACAUCAAAUCGUACCCCAAACCGACACAGGUGGUCAGGUAGAGAAUACCAAGGCGCUUGAGAGAACUCGGGUGAAGGAACUAGGCAAAAUGGUGCCGUAACUUCGGGAGAAGGCACGCUGAUAUGUAGGUGAAGUCCCUCGCGGAUGGAGCUGAAAUCAGUCGAAGAUACCAGCUGGCUGCAACUGUUUAUUAAAAACACAGCACUGUGCAAACACGAAAGUGGACGUAUACGGUGUGACGCCUGCCCGGUGCCGGAAGGUUAAUUGAUGGGGUUAGCCGCAAGGCGAAGCUCUUGAUCGAAGCCCCGGUAAACGGCGGCCGUAACUAUAACGGUCCUAAGGUAGCGAAAUUCCUUGUCGGGUAAGUUCCGACCUGCACGAAUGGCGUAAUGAUGGCCAGGCUGUCUCCACCCGAGACUCAGUGAAAUUGAACUCGCUGUGAAGAUGCAGUGUACCCGCGGCAAGACGGAAAGACCCCGUGAACCUUUACUAUAGCUUGACACUGAACAUUGAGCCUUGAUGUGUAGGAUAGGUGGGAGGCUUUGAAGUGUGGACGCCAGUCUGCAUGGAGCCGACCUUGAAAUACCACCCUUUAAUGUUUGAUGUUCUAACGUUGACCCGUAAUCCGGGUUGCGGACAGUGUCUGGUGGGUAGUUUGACUGGGGCGGUCUCCUCCUAAAGAGUAACGGAGGAGCACGAAGGUUGGCUAAUCCUGGUCGGACAUCAGGAGGUUAGUGCAAUGGCAUAAGCCAGCUUGACUGCGAGCGUGACGGCGCGAGCAGGUGCGAAAGCAGGUCAUAGUGAUCCGGUGGUUCUGAAUGGAAGGGCCAUCGCUCAACGGAUAAAAGGUACUCCGGGGAUAACAGGCUGAUACCGCCCAAGAGUUCAUAUCGACGGCGGUGUUUGGCACCUCGAUGUCGGCUCAUCACAUCCUGGGGCUGAAGUAGGUCCCAAGGGUAUGGCUGUUCGCCAUUUAAAGUGGUACGCGAGCUGGGUUUAGAACGUCGUGAGACAGUUCGGUCCCUAUCUGCCGUGGGCGCUGGAGAACUGAGGGGGGCUGCUCCUAGUACGAGAGGACCGGAGUGGACGCAUCACUGGUGUUCGGGUUGUCAUGCCAAUGGCACUGCCCGGUAGCUAAAUGCGGAAGAGAUAAGUGCUGAAAGCAUCUAAGCACGAAACUUGCCCCGAGAUGAGUUCUCCCUGACCCUUUAAGGGUCCUGAAGGAACGUUGAAGACGACGACGUUGAUAGGCCGGGUGUGUAAGCGCAGCGAUGCGUUGAGCUAACCGGUACUAAUGAACCGUGAGGCUUAACCUU
Molecule: ribosomal RNA, 2865 nt
Filed under: Escherichia coli
Lineage: Bacteria; Pseudomonadati; Pseudomonadota; Gammaproteobacteria; Enterobacterales; Enterobacteriaceae
Description: bacterial LSU rRNA
Rfam family: Bacterial large subunit ribosomal RNA
Source: RNAcentral